GACGAACGCUGGCGGCGUGCUUAACACAUGCAAGUCGAACGGAAAGGCCCUUCUUUUGUUGGUUGCUCGAGUGGCGAACGGGUUAGUAAUACGUGAGUAACCUUCCCUUUACUUUGGGAUAACUUCAGGAAACUGGGGCUAAUACCGGAUAGGAGCUCCUGCUGCAUGGUGGGGGUUGGAAAGUUUCGGCGGUUGGGGAUGGACUCGCGGCUUAUCUGGUUGUUGGUGGGGUAGUGGCUUACCAAGGCUUUGACGGGUAGCCGGCCUGAGAGGGUGACCGGCCAAAUGGGGACUGAGGUACGGCCCAGACUCCUACGGGAGGAAGAAGGGGGGAAUAUUGAACAAUGGGCGAAAGCCUGAUGAAGAAACGCCGCGUGCGGGAUGACGGACUUCGGGUUGUAAACCGCUUUCGCAUGUGACGAAGCGUGAGUGACGGUAAUGGGUAAAGAAGAACCGGCUAACUACGUG
This 468-nucleotide ribosomal RNA is filed under the name uncultured bacterium. RNAcentral's name for it is "partial 16S ribosomal RNA". It matches the Rfam family "Bacterial small subunit ribosomal RNA", at positions 28 to 507 of the family's 1533-position model. The record is from RNAcentral.